UUUGUACUCCCUCCGUCUGAAAAAGCUUGUCCCAAGUUUGUCUCUCAAAUGGACGUAUCUAGCACUAACUUGGUUCUAGAUACAUCCUUUCGAGGGACAAGUUUUUUUGGACGGGGGGAGUACAUU
Molecule: non-coding RNA, 126 nt
Organism: Triticum aestivum (bread wheat)
Lineage: Eukaryota; Viridiplantae; Streptophyta; Magnoliopsida; Poales; Poaceae
Source: Rfam